Molecule: ribosomal RNA, 253 nt
Filed under: uncultured bacterium
Lineage: Bacteria
Description: partial 16S ribosomal RNA
Rfam family: Bacterial small subunit ribosomal RNA
Source: RNAcentral
UACGUAUGGUGCAAGCGUUAUCCGGAUUUACUAGGCGUAAAGGGAGCGCAGGCGGUGCGCCAAGUCUGAUGUGAAACCCCGGGGCUCAACCCCGGGCAUGCAUUGGAAACUGGCGGGCUGGAGUGCCGGAGAGGCAAGCGGAAUUCCUAGUGUAGCGGUGAAAUGCGUAGAUAUUAGGAGGAACACCAGUGGCGAAGGCGGCUUACUGGACGGCAACUGACGCUGAGGCUCGAAAGCGUGGGGAGCAAACAGG